AACGUUAAGGCGUGCCAGCCGAUUUGACCUUACUAUCGGCAAAGGUGAUAACUCGAAUACUUUAGUCCUGACAACAGCGAUGCGCCCGGAUGUCACGGCUAAGAGGUACUCACGCGGAACUUGAGAACACGCCGAGCUUAAGUCGACGAAUUCCUAAGAACUCGUAAUAAAAAGAAAAAAAUAUGACGAAGUCGUCGAAAAGUAGAUGCUGGAAUAUGAGUAAAAACGUGUAUUUGAUUGAUUUCUUGAUUGAUUAUUACAAGGCCCUAGGGUUUAUAUUUAUACCCUGCUCAAAGAGCUACAACCAGACACGAUUAGAAUUCGAAUUCCAAAUUACACGGAAUCCGUAUACAAAACGAUGCAAAUAAUUAAGGAAAUAACAAAACUAUCCUUCGUGACAAACCGAAACUCCUCCACAUGACAACUGGCAGCUUCCGGACUCCUCCUUUGCAUCAUCGGCAAUCCCUUUGCCAUAGUCAUCGGCAGACCCUUUUAUCCAGCCAUCGGCACCAUAUUACUGCCUGUGGACUUAGUCACAUUCAACCUCUCCCUCAUCGGCAACCAUCCUCAUCGGCAACCCGCAUCGUACUGCCACCCUAUCCUGUCAUCCUAGACACGUGCCCAAAAACGGUGUCAACAGGGUUCGGUUCAACGGUCGCUCCUUCGGUCACGGGCACUAUACGCAAAAUGAUGAAUGCUCAUGAUAUGCAUAUGACAAAUAUGCAAAAAGGACCAAGUUAAGUACUUCUGGCUCUCUUGGUGCAACAUAGACUAAACAAUAAUUAAAGUUGUUUAGCAACUUAGAGUCUUUACCCAAGAGGUCGCAUCUGUAAAUUAAGACUUCUCUCAAUUCAUGAUUAACUUAAAUUAACUAAUUAUUAACCCUUUUAUCUUAAUUAAUUCUUAAUUAAAUACUAAUAACAGUAAUUAAGUAUUAAUGCCAAACAAUAAUUAAAUGCCAAAGGUCAUUGAGGUUAAUGACCUUAGGUCAUCACACAAUCCCAAAAUCACUCAAACCCUAAGUAUGAGGAUUUAACUAAUUAUUAUCUAAUUAUUUUAGCAUUAUUAUUUAAUUAUUAAAUAAGGGUCUAAUAAUACUUUAUUCAAACAUUAUCCAAAUGCCACAAAAUUUUGUGUGAAGCUAGGGAAUAACAUUCAGAGACCUCCCACAAAUUUUGGUGAUUUUUGGAUGUGCCUAAAAAUUACAAAAAUUCAUGGAAAGUUUAUUUACUAAAUAAAAGGCAGAAUUUAUAUAUAUAUUCAUAGACAGAAAAUGAACUUUAGUAUUUUUCCUCUAUUCUUCUCAUUCUAUGGAACCUAUACAAAAAUUUUCAUAAUUUUUUGGAUCAGCACAUAAUUUAUUACACAAAAUCAAACAUAAAGCAAAAACUGCACAAAAAAAAAAAGAAAAAAAACACUGUGCAGCGACUGGCCGGGAAAUCGGCCCGCAGGCCGGCCCACUCCCGCUCGGCCCACGCGCGCGCCGCGCGCGUUGCCCCUCCCCCCCCUCUUCUCUCUGCGGGUCACUGACGGGCGGGUCCCGCUCGUCAGACCCCCCUUCCCUUCUCUCUCUGCGGGACGCUGACGGGGAUGCCCCACCCGUCAGCUCCUUCUAUGUCGCGCACGGCGGCUCGGUCACGACUCCGGCCGCCGUUGGCGAGGGUCUUGGCCCACGCGCGCGUGCGCACCCGCACCGCCUCACCUUCGCGAACCUGUUGCUACCACUCACUCGUGCUCUACCUCCCUCUCUCUACCUCAUCCGCACAAAUGGUGGACGGCCGCGUCGGUCGCCCGAAGACCGGCCACUAGGGCUCGGUAGAGUACAAAUUGACGCGCUAGGGAGCUUCCAUGGAGGGUAAGGAACAUGGUGCUCACAUCACCACGGCGAGAG
RNAcentral lists this long non-coding RNA (1891 nucleotides) under Sorghum bicolor (sorghum). RNAcentral describes it as "long non-coding RNA (SBIC_LNC003965)". Lineage: Eukaryota; Viridiplantae; Streptophyta; Magnoliopsida; Poales; Poaceae. The record is from RNAcentral.